UACAUAUGUCACACAUAUGUACACAUAGGUGUGCGUAUGUAUGUGCAUGUACACACAUGCAAACAGAUAGCCUAUGUAUUCCCAG
This 85-nucleotide microRNA precursor is filed under the name Microtus ochrogaster (prairie vole). RNAcentral describes it as "miRNA (ENSMOCG00000006510.1)". Lineage: Eukaryota; Metazoa; Chordata; Mammalia; Rodentia; Cricetidae. The record is from RNAcentral.